UCACUUCACUUUGUAUCGGGCAUUGGAGAGUGGACGACGUCGGUCAACUUCCAGUUCCGCCUCCAUCUCCAUUAGAGUGGGGUUUGCACAAACUCUCUUCUCUUACAACACUCGACCUUUAUGGCGGAGGUUGGCCGUGGGGAGAUACGGUGUCCUUUCCAGAAGAAGGGAUGUUCCUGCCCACCUCUCUCAUCAAAUUGACCAUCCAACACUUCCGAAAUCUGGAAAGACUCUCUUAUGAGGAGUUUCAAAACCUCACCUCUCUUGAAAGACUUGAAAUCUGGAGUUGCCCUAGGCUCGCGUCCUUUCCAAAGGAAGGGUUGCCUCCCUCUCUUUUGCAUCUAUGGAUCUAUGACUGCCCUGAGCUUGCGACCUUUCCAGAACAAGGAUUCCCUCCCUCGCUUUUGUCAGUGUGGAUCAGGGGAUGUAAUCCAAUACUGAAACAGAAGUGUGAAAAGGGGAAAGAAUAUUGGCCCAUCAUCCAAUACAUUCCUCGAGUAGAUUUCGAAUAAGCAGCCACCUGCAAGGAGAAUAUGGAGGUUUGUUAUGGAAAGACUCAAGAUAGAUGGCAAAGAAGGCAGAAAUACUAGUGCACAUCUGAGAAUUCCCACAUGAUCAAAGGCAAUAGAAAGCACAGAAAAGGAAAGAAAGAAGCAAAGAAGAGAGAAAUUGUACAUAGUUGCUUUUUGGCUAUUUAGCUUGGUAAGAUGGGAUUUUAAUAAAGCUCUUUCAGCUAAGCAAGGUUGGCGGUUGCUUACUAUCCAAAUUCAAAUUUUCUAAAGCUAGCUUGAGGAGUAAACCAUUGACAUUGUUUAGAGGAGUAUUUGGAGUGCAAAGUAUUUUUUGGAGGCUGCGCUGCACUGGCAUAUUGGGAAUGGAAGGUCUAUGAAGAUUUGGAAAGAUAUAUGGAUUCCAAGGCCUUACUCUUACAAACCUAUUUCUGUUACAAAAUUCUUGCAUGCUGAUGCUAAGUUGGCAUAUCAUUUGGAGAUGGUUUUGUGAAGCAGAGAAACACAAGUCAGGUCAGAUGCUGGGAGUUUUGAAAGGGCAUUUUCAAAAACGAUUUGGUUGCUGAAAUUUCUGCAUAAAGUGAAAAUCUUUGCAUGGAAAACAUGUUCGAAUAUCCUUCAUGUUCAAUCAAAGUUGAGGAGGUGCAAAUUAAUUCAAUUCAAUGACUGUUAUUUCCCUUUUGCUGCAGAAGUUUGGUCAUUAAGCCCUCUUUACUCUGUUCUAACCAUGCCCUGCUUAAAAUUUUCUAUUCUUGAUCUAGGAGUUUAGCCAAAAGAUGGAUGUAUCACCUUUGAGAUUAUUCUUUUUUUAUUUGCUGGAGUAUUUGGAACAAUCA
Non-coding RNA from Camellia sinensis, 1345 nucleotides. NCBI's taxonomy places the organism in Eukaryota, Viridiplantae, Streptophyta, Magnoliopsida, Ericales, Theaceae. The record is from RefSeq and is a predicted model, not a curated record.